This 70-nucleotide transfer RNA is filed under the name Salmo salar (Atlantic salmon). It matches the Rfam family "tRNA". From Rfam's summary of the family: Transfer RNA (tRNA) molecules are approximately 80 nucleotides in length. Their secondary structure includes four short double-helical elements and three loops (D, anti-codon, and T loops). Further hydrogen bonds mediate the characteristic L-shaped molecular structure. tRNAs have two regions of fundamental functional importance: the anti-codon, which is responsible for specific mRNA codon recognition, and the 3' end, to which the tRNAs corresponding amino acid is attached (by aminoacyl-tRNA synthetases). tRNAs cope with the degeneracy of the genetic code in two manners: having more than one tRNA (with a specific anti-codon) for a particular amino acid; and 'wobble' base-pairing, i.e. permitting non-standard base-pairing at the 3rd anti-codon position. Lineage: Eukaryota; Metazoa; Chordata; Actinopteri; Salmoniformes; Salmonidae. The record is from Rfam by way of RNAcentral.
CCCCGUGUGGCUCAGUUGGUAGAGCAUGGUGUUUGCAAUGCCAGGGUUGUGGAUUCGAUUCCCACGGGGG